UCCAUUUUGGCUCUGGGGAACAUAGGGUAAGCUCUCUCUUUCUCUCUCUAAAACUUCUCUCCAUUUUUGAGUAGAAGUUAAUGGAAUUAACUCCUUUCUCUUCUCCUCUUCAUGUUGGCUGAGGUGGUGAGCUGGGAGGGAGCUGCGGAUGAGGUGAAAGGGAAUUUUUGGUGGUCUUUAACUUUAACCCUAAUUCAGGAAUGUGCUGGGGUUAAGCUUCGAAUGCUGAGUUGAGGAAAGUUUACAAAGGCCGUAGAAUGAGUAUCUUGGGCUGUGACUAUCGAUUUUAAUCCAGGAGUAAGCUGGAUUAGGAUUUUAAGAAGCAGCUUUAAUUAUCACUUUGAGCUGAAUAUAGGGGCAAUCGAGAGCUGAUUUGGGAUGCCCCAACUUACGUGGAAUGGAGAUUGAGCUCUAGACUAAACCUGGGUUCGCAGCAGGUUUGCGACAGAUUGUUGAAGUAAUCUCAGCUGAUUUUUAGGAGCUUUCGAAGGUUAAACUUGGUGCUUUAACCUAAACCGAAACAGGGAUUUAAGCUAUAGCAUUGUACAAGGGUUGAGUUUUAAUCUAAACCUAGAGGACUUGGAGACUCCAAAUUCCUGUAGUUGCAAGUGACUAAGAGUCGUCGACUAGUAGAGCCUUCCAUGACGGGAAAGGCUAGGGAUUCUUGGCAAGGGGUCAACGGUUAAAUAGAUCCUUCUCGAUGUUAAAUAGAUGAACCUCUAUUGGUUUAAUUUGGUUUAGCUCAGUGAUGUAUUCUGGAAUUAUGUAAAAUGUUCUUUACUUUUAAAUUGUAAUAAGGUUUUGGGUUGUAUAAGUUUACUAUAUUUUUAAGUUGUGCUCUGAUUACCUGAUUGGAAUCGAA
Molecule: long non-coding RNA, 862 nt
Organism: Ananas comosus (pineapple)
Lineage: Eukaryota; Viridiplantae; Streptophyta; Magnoliopsida; Poales; Bromeliaceae
Exons: 6
Source: RefSeq, a predicted model, not a curated record